This 1021-nucleotide long non-coding RNA is filed under the name Olea europaea subsp. europaea. The record is from RNAcentral. Lineage: Eukaryota; Viridiplantae; Streptophyta; Magnoliopsida; Lamiales; Oleaceae.
UCUCUCAAUAAUAAUAAUGCCAAAAGUUGCAAUACAAUGAAUACUAAUGAGUAUUUAUACUAAAACCCUAAGAUAUGGUAAAAAUGUGCAUAAUCUCCAAAAUAUGCUAAAAUUAUGGAAAGAAAUAAAUUUUAUCAAAAAAAGGAAAAUCGUGAAAUUUGGAACAAUCCUCCCCUAAAUAGACCCAUGCAGUCGCAUGGUUCAAUUCCAUGCGACCGUAUGGAACAACCAAGUUCAGCCGAUUAACACCCUACCUCUAUCUGUGCGAGCACAAGAGGUAGAGAACUAUGCGGUACCAUGGUUCUUCACUUCGGCUCCGUUUUCGUCCACUUUUAACACAUUGCUUCUUCGGUCUUCGAUCCCAUCAUAAAACUUGCUCCAUUUUAAAUCUUGAACAUGGUGUCAUCAACAGUUGCCUUGACGAGCAAUCACAACGCCUCUUUCACUCACUUCGCCCUCAAUCGCGUCAUCGGUCCACUAUCGACUAUCAAUGGAUAGUUUCCCGGGCUUGACAUUGGACUUGACUUCAACGCUUGCGUGUCCUAGAUCACAUCAUCCCCUCCCUCUUCAAAAAGAUUCAUCCUCGAAUCUAAACCUGCAUCAAAGAGAAAAAGAUCGGACACAUCAAAAGUUGCUGAAACGUUAUACUCAACUGGAAGAUCUAAUUUGUAUGCAUUGUCAUUGAUCUUCUCAAGCACUUGAAAUAGUCCAUCUCCCCUUGGCUGCAACUUUGAUUUUCUCUGUUCUGGGAAUCGCUCUUUCCGAAAGUACACCCAAACCCAAUCUUCUAGUUAGAAGGUAACAAUCUUCCUGCCCUUAUUUGCUUACUCGGCGUAAUGCUUGCUCUUCUUCUCAAUUUGCUCCCGUACCUUUUCAUUGAGUGAUUUCACCAACUCUGCCUUCCUCUUCCCAUCCAAGCUAUCUCGUUCAUUCACAAGCAAAUGUAUUAAAUCCAUAGGUGUUAUUGGAUUAAAACCAUAAACAAUUUCAAAUGGAGAAAACAACGUAGUGGGAGUGUGUG